GUCUUCAGUGAGGGGAGGGCAGCUGCUCUGACAGGUGAGUGUAUCUUAGACAACCGAAACACAAACAUACUCCAAGGACAUGACGGCAGUUCAGGGAUGGAGAGGAAAGCUUUGGGGCACAGAAGAGAAAGAGUGACUCACCUGUCGCGUAUAUAGUUUCUCACCAGCAUCUGUGAACCUGAUGGGCUCCUAAGUGGCUCCUUCUGGAACAUUCCCUGACUGGGUACCACAUACCCUCUGACUCUCCUGAACCUUUUGUUCCCAAAGCACUUUUAAAUGAAGGUGCCUUCAAGCUCCUGUGGAUCGUAAAGAUCUCAAUGAGCUGGGACAAAGAUAUUGAAACUGAUACCACUCAGGUCAGAGGGGAUGACUUAAGUGUAUGAGAACCUUUUUUCUCCUUUGGGACAUUGAACAUAAGUGGUGUGGAAUAAUGUUACGCUUCUCUGAAGGGUCCUAAAUGGUUGAAGAACACCCCUCAAGAGAUGGAAAGAAUCUAAGAGCCAGAGAGAAUGGAUGACUCCAAGGAAACACAAUGGGACGGAUGACCACAUGAACGCUCCGUGACUCUAGCAGCUUGCACCAGGCCUGUACAGGUUCAAGCCAGACGGGCUUCCAGCACUGAGAGGGGAAUUGGACAUGGGCUUCUACUCCUUACUAAGAAGCUCUCGGCAACUGAUACCGACUUGCAAAGGCAAAAAGUUUUCUCCAAUGAAGUACCACUGAGUAUAUUAACCAUACUUCAAGGUAUGUGGAGCCUGACUGUGAAACUCACAUGACCUAUACAACCAUCUGUAACUCCACUUCUGGAGGAUCCAGUGCCUUCUUUCUGACUGCCACAGGUACGAGGUAGUGUGCAUUUUCUCCUGAACUGCUACCUAAUGUGUACACAUGGCUCAGCCUUCUGCAAACUUUUGACCAAGGGAGAAAGCUCAGAGCUUGGCUGAUAGGCUGGACUCCACAAGGUCUCCAGGGGUGGGGACUGGAACUUAUCUGAAGAGGAACUGGUAGACGAGUCGUCAGAAAACAACUGAGGCAUCCUGCCAUGACCUAUCAGCUCUCUCUGCUGCCUCCCAACUCUUACAGCCUUGGGAGAGGCACAUUCACUUGGAAUUGUAAUGAACAGGUGUCCAUUUACUUUGGAUUCAGGCCAAAGAGUCAAGCCAAUGUCAUUUGUAGGCACAAUCACUUUAAGUUCAGACCCAUGAAGACCUUUUCUGGUACUUUUGUCUGAAUUAGAGAUGCGACUUAA
RNAcentral lists this long non-coding RNA (1249 nucleotides) under Mus pahari (shrew mouse). Its description in RNAcentral is "lncRNA (MGP_PahariEiJ_G0005565.1)". Lineage: Eukaryota; Metazoa; Chordata; Mammalia; Rodentia; Muridae. The record is from RNAcentral.